GAUGAACGCUGGCGGCGUGCCUAAUACAUGCAAGUCGAGCGAACAGAUAAGGAGCUUGCUCCUUUGACGUUAGCGGCGGACGGGUGAGUAACACGUGGGUAACCUACCUAUAAGACUGGAAUAACUUCGGGAAACCGGGGCUAAUACCGGAUAACAUUUAGAACCGCAUGGUUCUAAAGUGAAAGAUGGUUUUGCUAUCACUUAUAGAUGGACCCGCGCCGCAUUAGCUAGUUGGUAAGGUAACGGCUUACCAAGGCAACGAUACGUAGCCGACCUGAGAGGGUGAUCGGCCACACUGGAACUGAGACACGGUCCAGACUCCUACGGGAGGCAGCAGUAGGGAAUCUUCCGCAAUGGGCGAAAGCCUGACGGAGCAACGCCGCGUGAGUGAUGAAGGUCUUCGGAUCGUAAAACUCUGUUAUUAGGGAAGAACAAAUGUGUAAGUAACUGUGCACGUCUUGACGGUACCUAAUCAGAAAGCCACGGCUAACUACGUG
RNAcentral lists this ribosomal RNA (497 nucleotides) under uncultured bacterium. Its description in RNAcentral is "partial 16S ribosomal RNA". It matches the Rfam family "Bacterial small subunit ribosomal RNA", at positions 28 to 507 of the family's 1533-position model. The record is from RNAcentral.